Molecule: unclassified non-coding RNA, 245 nt
Filed under: uncultured fungus
Lineage: Eukaryota; Fungi
Description: sequence contains 5.8S rRNA gene
Source: RNAcentral
GAACGCACAUUGCGCCCCUUGGUAUUCCACUGGGCAUGCCUGUUCGAGCGUCAUCUACACCCUCAAGCUGUGCUUGGUGUUGGGCGUCUGUCCUCGUUCCCCGCGGACUCGCCUCAAAUGCAUUGGCGGCGGCUCUACCGGCUUCUUGCGCAGCACUUUUGCGCGUGGAAGACCGGUGGGCUCGCACCCAUCAAGGACCUCUCCAUUUGACCUCGAAUCAGGUAGGGAUACCCGCUGAACUUAAG